CCAUGACCACACGCUGAACGUGAGGGUUAAACUCCGCGUUUAGAUGGUCUUCGCGUAUCAGUCCUAGGGGUGUAAUGACAUCCUAGCAAUCGACGCGUACGGUUGUGGGAACAAUAUCCCGGAGACGUAUUUUGAGACACGAAGCCGGACCCUACGGGUUACAGCAGGCGCGAAAACUUCACACUGCAGGAAACUGUGAUGAGGGAACUCCAAGUGACUGCACAAUGUGUAGCCUUUUCUUGAAUCUUAAUAGUUCUUGGAAUAAGGGCUGGGAAGGACCGGUGCCAUCCGCCGCGGUAAUACCGUCAGCUCAAGUGGUCGUCGCUUUUAUUGGGCCUAAAACGUCCGUAGCCUGUUUGGUAAAUCUGUGGGUAAAUCAACGAGCUUAACUCGUUGAAUUCUGCAGAGACUGCCAGACUAGGGACCGGGAGAGGUAUGAGGUACUCUGGGGGUAGGGGUAAAAUCCUGUCAUCCUCAGAGGACCACCUGUUGCGAAGGCGUCAUACUGGAACGGAUCCGACGGUCAGGGACGAAGCCUAGGGGCACGAACCGGAUUAGAUACCCGGGUAGUCCUAGGUGUAAACGCUGUGGAUUUGGUGUGUGGGGUCCGCAAUGGGCCCCAUGUGCCGGAGUGAAGAUGUUAAAUCCACUGCCUGGGGAGUACGGUCGCAAGGCUGAAACUCAAAGGAAUUGACGG
Molecule: ribosomal RNA, 697 nt
Filed under: uncultured euryarchaeote
Lineage: Archaea; Methanobacteriati; Methanobacteriota
Description: bacterial SSU rRNA
Rfam family: Archaeal small subunit ribosomal RNA
Source: RNAcentral